RNAcentral lists this non-coding RNA (117 nucleotides) under Gorilla gorilla gorilla (western lowland gorilla). Lineage: Eukaryota; Metazoa; Chordata; Mammalia; Primates; Hominidae. The record is from Rfam by way of RNAcentral.
GCCAGGCGUGGUGGCUCACGCCUGUAAUCCCAACACUUUGGGAGGCUGAGGCGGGUGGAUCACCUGAGGUCAGGAGUUCAAGACCAGCCUGGCCAACAAGGUGAAAUCCCAUCUCUA